Long non-coding RNA from Pollicipes pollicipes, 1094 nucleotides. RefSeq lists it as uncharacterized. NCBI's taxonomy places the organism in Eukaryota, Metazoa, Arthropoda, Thecostraca, Pollicipedomorpha, Pollicipedidae. The transcript is spliced from 2 exons. The record is from RefSeq and is a predicted model, not a curated record.
CAGCGCCCUCUACCCGCCCAACUUCACACAGGCGUUCGGCCAGAUGUUCGCCGGCAUGCUGCCCGCGCCUGGCUUCCAGCUGCCGCCGAACGGGAAAGUCAGUGAUCUGUUCGCCAAGAAGCCGCCGCCCCGGCCGCAGCUCAGCGCGGCCGAGGUGGCCGCCGUCCGCCAGAUGAUCAACGGCUACCGGGAGUCGGCCAAUUUCCUGCGCCGCUCGGCGGACGAGCUGGAACUGCUCAUUCAGCAGUCUGGCCACUAGGCGGCGGCACGGCCGCUUUGCCUCGGGUCGACGAGCUUGAAACAAUUGCGCUCAGGUCAUCUCUCGCGGCUGGCGAGCAGCCGCGACAGGUGGAGGCGGCGUUCACGGCUGAUCGGUCUCAACCCGACCUGGGAGACGUUCGAGGCGAGAUGUGAAGCGCUUCGCAGCGCUUGGCGCGAAGCCCGCCGGUGCUCGCGGCGUGGGCAGUGUGCCCACUGCCAGCGAGAUGUGUUCGUGAUCUCGCCAUUCAGUGUGGAGCGGGCACUGGCUGUCCGGAGAGGCGCGGCCGGUGUCUGACCAAUCAGAGUGAGCCGCGGCGCCCGGGCAGCCAAUCCCAAACCGUCACGAUAUAUCAUUCGGCACCGUCCCCACCUUGUCGGAUCAGUGUUUGUGUUGCUUUCUAGACGUGCGCGUAGCUAUAGGUGUUGGCUGGUCCGGCCAGCCGUUAUUUUGAAAUUGCGGGCGGUCCGCAAGUCCCGAACAGCACGGCCAUUCGUCUCGACAGGUUGCAGUCUUCCCAUGACAAACGCAGGUCAGUUCGGCUAUAUAGUCCGUGUGCUACAGUACAGCAGGCGCCUCGCCGGGGCGUGGCGGCGGCAGCGUUUCCUUGGUGUCGUGUUCUCACCGCCGCGGUACCUGGGCGCCCCGGAACGGCCGGCGCGAGGACCAUGGGGGCCCGACCGCCCCUGCCUGCGCCGAGUUGGUGUGAUGUACCUCCGUGCUGGGCGCACCAGCGCGCCAGCGCCGGUCUAGUCCAAGCAUUGGUCGGUGUGAGUCAGUUACCUCCGUGUUAUCAUUUUCCUGCGGCAAAGAAAUACAAGUAUUUUCGUGCUGA